AUUUCCGAAUGGGGAAACCCAGCAUGAGUUAUGUCAUGUUAUCGAUAUGUGAAUACAUAGCAUAUCAGAAGGCACACCCGGAGAACUGAAACAUCUUAGUACCCGGAGGAAGAGAAAGAAAAUUCGAUUCCCUUAGUAGCGGCGAGCGAAACGGGAAGAGCCCAAACCAACAAGCUUGCUUGUUGGGGUUGUAGGACACUCUAUACGGAGUUACAAAGGACGACAUUAGACGAAUCAUCUGGAAAGAUGAAUCAAAGAAGGUAAUAAUCCUGUAGUCGAAAAUGUUGCCUCUCUUGAGUGGAUCCUGAGUACGACGGAACACGUGAAAUUCCGUC
RNAcentral lists this ribosomal RNA (335 nucleotides) under Bacillus thuringiensis. Its description in RNAcentral is "partial 23S ribosomal RNA". It matches the Rfam family "Bacterial large subunit ribosomal RNA", at positions 110 to 438 of the family's 2925-position model. Lineage: Bacteria; Bacillati; Bacillota; Bacilli; Caryophanales; Bacillaceae. The record is from RNAcentral.